GGUAGGGUGGCUGAGUUAGGCGGUGGAUUGUAGCUCCACAGACAGAGGUUCAACCCCUCUUCCUAUCA
RNAcentral lists this transfer RNA (68 nucleotides) under Bregmaceros nectabanus (smallscale codlet). Its description in RNAcentral is "tRNA-Tyr". It matches the Rfam family "tRNA". From Rfam's summary of the family: Transfer RNA (tRNA) molecules are approximately 80 nucleotides in length. Their secondary structure includes four short double-helical elements and three loops (D, anti-codon, and T loops). Lineage: Eukaryota; Metazoa; Chordata; Actinopteri; Gadiformes; Bregmacerotidae. The record is from RNAcentral. RNAcentral also lists the same sequence under 1 other name.